AACAACAUGAAGGACCUGGAGGUUGCCAUGGUGAGAGACACACGACUGGAGAAACAUGAACAACAUGAAGGACCUGGAGGUUGCCAUGGUGAGAGACACACGACUGGAGAAACAUGAACAACAUGAAGGACCUGGAGGUUGCCAUGGUGAGAGACACACGACUGGAGAAACAUGAACAACAUGAAGGACCUGGAGGUUGCCAUGAUUGCCUGUAGUGGUACAACCAACUCCACUCCUCCCUUCAGCUACCCUGUGUCAGAAUUCUAAAGGCAUCCUGGGAUCAGAAAUCCCAAAAUCUAAUUGAUAAAUUAGAGGGUGCUCCGGGGGAAGCUAGAGUGGCUCACAAUGGACAUCAGAGACAGCUAUGUGGACCAGAGAGGAUAACCUGGGAUUUCUUCUAUCUUUUAUCAAUGCUGAACUGAAGGGUGACCAGAAGACUGCACUAGCACUCUCUGGUGGAAGCUGUCUGUACAACAUGGCAGUGUUUUGCUGCCACCUGGAUUUAUUGAUGGAGUUACAGAGCCCUCUUCUGGUGAUAUACAGCAUGACAUGGUAUGAAUAUGAUGUAUAUGAUUGAUAUUAAAGUGCCCAUGUCAACAAAACACUGAUAUUUUAUUUUGGAACAAUAUUUGCUCAUAU
This is a long non-coding RNA of Oncorhynchus gorbuscha (pink salmon), 639 nucleotides long. RefSeq lists it as uncharacterized. The record is from RefSeq and is a predicted model, not a curated record. The transcript has 3 exons. NCBI's taxonomy places the organism in Eukaryota, Metazoa, Chordata, Actinopteri, Salmoniformes, Salmonidae.